CUGAUAAGGGAGGGAAACCCAAGGACAGAAGUGCUGGGAUCUCCACGAUUCGUCCUGCGAGUACAGGAAAACUCUAGAAGAUCCAUCAUUAUUGGAAUUUAUGUUCAUUUGCUUUCUUUAACCCGGUCGGUGCUGGAACUGCAUUAAUAUGUUUGUAAUGGGCUGAAGAGAGAAAAGAUAAGACCAAAUACAGAAAAUACACUGAUAACAAAUCCCCUGAAUUUGUCUCUGGUCUGAUAAUUUAUUGCGACCCACACCUUGGUAUAGUGACAGGAAGCCAAACCGUCACACUAUUAAUUCAAUUGACUGUCAAAUUUAGUAAACAAAUAUUGGUGGAUUUAUGAUGCUUGUCACUAAACUCAGCAAAUAUAGAUGAUUACCUCAUAGAAGUUCUCUAUGGCCUGCCAGUCCAGCCUCUUACAGUUUGGUCUGCACUCCGAGAUUGUUCUACUUCUAUCCAGAAUGUUUUUGAUAUCGCCUAGCAUCAGAUCAAUGCCCUGUUAAGUACAACAGGUCCAGAGAUGCAGAGACAAGACAAAACCUGAUGAGGCGCAUCUGCAACCACUCCAGCCUCAACAGGACUCAGCAUGGAUUGGCUUACGUUGAGCAUGAAGGGAAAGAAAAGUAGGAGCGAGAGCUUAAUCCCUGACUAGUGUUGCAUCUCAGCCACCGAAUUACAGGAACAUAAAAAAAAAAGAGAAAGGAGUGUGCUGAACUGCCAACUCUACAACCGCCUGCACCAUAUCAGCAGAUCACAUCCGGAAGCCAAAGACUGUUGCCUGGCAAUCUGGUAACCGGUGGCAUUUACGUCUGGCCGCCACCCCUGACCACGACUCCCUAGCAAAACGUUACCUUUAAAACGAUGUCUGUACUACUGCCCCUAGCAGCUGUACUUACUGUCAAAACGUGCACGACUACACAUAAAAUAGUACUGUCACUGUAUCAUACACACAUGUCUGCCCUGAUUAUGGCAUGUAUGGUUCCAACUGCAAUGUGCUGACUUCUACUGAUGAUGUGACUGCAAACAGAAGCUUCCAGAAUGAUUUCUGAAGUCACUGACAAGGACAAAACAAACUUCCUUAGGUAUCCAGGGGUUUUGUAGGGCCAAAAAGUGUUAGGUUCCUGACUAGCCAGGUUUAUCAUUGAAUUGAAAUCCAACUGAGCAUUGUCUAAGACAAGACUGAAGGCAAAAGGGCCCCAAAACAAGCAGAGACUGAUGGUGGGUGCAGUACUAGCUUGGCAGAGCAUCACCAAGGAUGAUACACAGUGUCUGGCAUUGUCUGAGUUGCAGAUUUAAGGCAAUCAUUGCAUGCAAAGUAUAUGUGACCAAGUACUAAACAUUACUAUAAUGUUAAUGUUAUGUUCAUCUGUCCAACUAUUCUUGGCACUUUCAAAUUGGGGGACUAUGUACAAAACAUGUGAUCAUUUCAAGAUGUUUAA
Long non-coding RNA from Esox lucius (northern pike), 1440 nucleotides. RefSeq lists it as uncharacterized. Lineage: Eukaryota; Metazoa; Chordata; Actinopteri; Esociformes; Esocidae. The record is from RefSeq and is a predicted model, not a curated record. The transcript is spliced from 3 exons.